AGUGGAUGGGGAGCAACCUAGUUGUGCGUGUGUAAAGGUAGUGCCAAGAAAAGCGAUGAUCAUGUUGAAAAUCAAUUCCCGGUACCCGAAACCGACACAGGGGGGCAAGUAGAGAAUACUAAGGGGCGCGAGGUAACUCUCUCCAAGGAACUCGGCAAAAUGACCCCGUAACUUAGGGAGAAGGGGUGCCACCGAGAGGUGGUCGCAGUGAAGAGGCCCAGGCGACUGUUUAGCAAAAACAUAGGUCUCUGCAAACUCGAAAGAGGAGGUAUAGGGGCUGACGCCUGCCCAGUGCCGGAAGGUUAAAGAAGUUGGUCAGUUUUAGGAUGAAGCUAGCGACUGAAGCCCCGGUGAACGGCGGCCGUAACUAUAACGGUCCUAAGGUAGCGAAAUUCCUUGUCGGGUAAGUUCCGACCCGCACGAAAGGCGUAACGAUCUGGGCGCUGUCUCGGAGAGAGGCUCGGCGAAAUAGGAUUGUCUGUGAAGAUACGGACUACCUGCAUUUGGACAGAAAGACCCUAUGAAGCUUUACUAUAGCUUGGAAUUGUGUUCGGGCUUCCUGUGCGCAGGAUAGGUGGGAGGCGUAGAAGGUAUUCUUGUGGGGAUACUGGAGCCAACGGUGAGAUACCACUCUCAGGAGGCUAGAAUUCUAACUUAAUUAAGGACAGUUUCAGGUGGGUAGUUUGACUGGGGCGGUCGCCUCCAAAAAGGUAACGGAGGCGUACAAAGGUUCCCUCAGACUGGUUGGAAAUCAGUCGAAGAGUGCAAAGGCAGAAGGGAGCUUGACUGCGAGAAGUACAGUUCGAGCAGGGUGGAAACACGGUCUUAGUGAUCCGACGGUGCUGUGUGGAAGGGCCGUCGCUCAACGGAUAAAAGUUACUCUAGGAUAACAGGCUGAUCUCCCCCAAGAGUUCACAUCGACGGGGAGGUUUGGCACCUCGAUGUCGGCUCAUCGCAACCUGGGGCGGAAGUACGUCCCAAGGGUUGGGCUGUUCGCCCAUUAAAGCGGUACGUGAGCUGGGUUCAGAACGUCGUGAGACAGUUCGGUCCAUAUCCGAUGUAGGCGUGAGAAUAUUGAGAGGAGCCUUCCUUAGUACGAGAGGACCGGGAAGGACGCACCGCUGGUGUACCUGUUAUGAUGCCAAUUGUAAACGCAGGGUAGCCAAGUGCGGAGAGGAUAACCGCUGAAAGCAUCUAAGUGGGAAGCCCACCUCAAGAUGAGUAUUCUGGUGUAAGGUCACGGGAAGACGACCCGUAAAUAGGCACGAGGUGGAAGUGCAGAGAUGUAUGAAGCCGGAGUGUACUAAUAGACCGUCGGCUUGACCAA
Molecule: ribosomal RNA, 1327 nt
Filed under: metagenome
Description: bacterial LSU rRNA
Rfam family: Bacterial large subunit ribosomal RNA
Source: RNAcentral